AAAGGUCAAAGUUCAGACCAUGUCAGUGUGUUGGAGGACGGUUCUUUUACUGCGUCUUCAGAUUGGAUUUUUAACAAUCCAGGCAAAUAUGAGAUCCACGUCCACGUCUCCAACCCCCUUUCCACACUCUCCUCCUCCCUCCACUUGUCCGUCUCUCAGUCCUCUCCAUUCAGCUUAAUGAUGUUUUUGCUUCACGGCCCCCCGGGUGUCCCCUCCUGCAUCCCCUCAGACUCUAAAAGUGGGAUUAUGAAGGCAGCAUAUCAGGGAAACACUGACACACUGCAGGCAAAUGUGAAGGAAGGUCUGGCUACAGAGUUCUGCAGGUGCUUUACUCACAAGGAAAAACAGGAAAAUGAGGAGAGUGAAGAGACAGUUUUUCUUUGCAAAUCAGACUGUCUGAACAGCUCUGUGGACUGGACUUUUGAAACAGACGGAGUUUACACAGUGUCAGUGAACGCCUCC
Molecule: long non-coding RNA, 462 nt
Organism: Amphiprion ocellaris (clown anemonefish)
Lineage: Eukaryota; Metazoa; Chordata; Actinopteri; Pomacentridae
Source: Ensembl